AUGGGAGCAGGGUCCUAUUUGCACCUUUCUUUUUAUGGCCUCCUUAUCGCCAGCACUUUCUUCCAAGGCUUGGAAGCGGUCAGCUGCAAAAGGGAAUGGCUGGCCUACCACAAUAAAUGCUUUGGCGUCUUUACGGAAGAGACAUCGUGGUCCAAUGCAGAGGUUUUGUGUCAGAGGUAUGGCGAGAACGGCCACCUGGCGUCCUUCCUCUCAGCGCAAGAAAAUGAGAUUGUGGCUAAGCGCAUCACUAACAACUACCCCGAGGUACAGCGAGUCUGGAUUGGAUUUCAUGACCCCAAAAAGAUUGGGAGGUGGAAAUGGAGCGAUUCCUCUACCACCAACUUCAGACCUUGGUCCGCAGGAGAACCCAGCAAGAGAGGAGAAAAGCGAUCCUGUGUUUUUAUGUCACUCUCGGAAGGUUUUAGAAGAUGGACAUCGGCGGAUUGCAAAGAAAAGAUGCCCUUUCUCUGUAGCUCUCUGCUGUAGAGGGGGCAGUCAUUCGUCCAGCGGUGGAAUAAAAUUGAUGAGGAUGAAUGGAUUUGCACCUCUUUUGCUUAAUAAAUGGUUUCCUUGUUUAAGCAUAUUUUUGGCGGUUCCUAUAGAAUUUGGAUGUGGUGGCGCUGCGGGUUAAACCGCAGAAGCCUCUGUGCUGCAAGGUCAGAAGACCUGCCGUCGUAAGCUCGAAUCCACACGCCGGAGGGAGCUCCUGUCACUUGUCCCAGCUCCUGCCAACCUGGCCGUUCAAAAGCAGGCAAAAUGCAAAAUGGCAGUAGAUAAAUAGGUACCACCACAGUGGGAAGGUCAUAGCGUUCCAUGUCUAGUCAUGCUGACAACAGAAGAUUGCCUUCGGACAAACCCAUAGCUCUAUGGGUUGGAAAUGGAGAUGAGCACCACCGCCUAGAGUUGGACACGACUGGACAAAUUGUCAAGGGGAAUCUUUACCUAAAGAAUUUGGGAUUCUAGUCCAGAUUUUGCAAGACCCUUGAUUUUUUUUUUGACCUCUCUUUAUUACUGACACAUUCGUAAAGUAGGAUCCUAUAUCUACUGGGGAUUGGUCCCAAGCCCCCACGGACACUGAAAACUGCAGAUAAUACCAUACACAGUAUACUGUAUACUGUUUUCCCGAAAAUAAGACCUAACCUGAAAAUAAGCCUUAGUAUGAUUUUUCAGGAUGCUCAUAAUAUAAGCCCUACCCCCAAAAUAAGCCCUAGCUAAGUGAAAGCCCACCCUCCAGCCUUGUGCCGCAAUCAGAAGAAGAUGACAUGACUGUAUUUGAAUAAACGUAGAUUGUACAUGAAAAAAAUAAAACGU
RNAcentral lists this long non-coding RNA (1311 nucleotides) under Pogona vitticeps (central bearded dragon). RNAcentral describes it as "lncRNA (ENSPVIG00000017265.1)". Lineage: Eukaryota; Metazoa; Chordata; Lepidosauria; Squamata; Agamidae. The record is from RNAcentral.